Molecule: long non-coding RNA, 962 nt
Filed under: Heterocephalus glaber (naked mole-rat)
Lineage: Eukaryota; Metazoa; Chordata; Mammalia; Rodentia; Bathyergidae
Description: lncRNA (ENSHGLG00000038982.1)
Source: RNAcentral
CUUAGAUAAUGCUGCAGUUGGUGGAAAUGAUGAACAUUUAAAAUGUUAACACCCUGUGAAUGCAUUGGAUUUAAGAGAAUAAACUUUUUGUAAAAAUCACUUGUAAAGAUUAUAAACUUAAUUACUGCACUUAAAAUGAAACAUUGCUUUUUUUUUUUUGUAGUGUGUCACAGAUGUAGGCUCAGAUUACUUGUAUGCUUGUGUGAUUUAUUGUUAGACCACCCAGUUCUAAACAUCUAAAAAGAUUGUUUUGUUUUGUUUGUGGUGCUGGGGAUCAAACAAAGCCAGGGCUUCCCUCACCACAUGCUAUCCGAGGGCUCUACAGUGAACUAUAUACCCCUGGCCCUAAAGAUUCUAACUGAAACACAAGAAGGAAGUUUUCUUUUUGAAGAAAACAAAUAUAUUCUUUCUUUUUCUCUAGACAUUAUUGAAGUUUAAAGACGUGACCAGUUUUUAAUUUGUUUGAAGUUAUAAUAUUUUUAAUAUAACUUGCCUCAUUACGUGUAAUAGUUCCCAUUUGAUGGGAUAUAUAGGGAAGAAUGUGUGCGUGUGUAUGCGUAUAAAAUAUAUAUAUUCACAGUCUGUAUUGUUUAUUUUAUUAUAGCAGAUUUAGGGUUUGUAUCUAAAUGAUGAUGCCUGUGAGUUAUGUGAAACUGUUGACGACUUUUUUCCCAGCAUUACUCUGAUGAGGCUCAACAUUUCCUUGGGCUCUUGAAGGCUAAAAUUAGGUAGAAAUGAUAUUGAAUGUAUGGUACAAUGAUCUGCCGUAGUUGUUACUGCAUGAAGAGAAAAACUCACACAAUCUUAUCACCUCGCACUUCAUAGAGAAGGUUUGUUCCCAUUGUCACCCCCCCCCCAACCCGCCGCCACCACCAAUGAUACGACACAUGCUCAUGCAUAAAAUGUUACAAUGAGUACAUCCUUGUAUUUGUAUGUUUUCAACAUUGCCAAGGUGCUAUGGG